This 453-nucleotide ribosomal RNA is filed under the name uncultured bacterium. Its description in RNAcentral is "bacterial SSU rRNA". It matches the Rfam family "Bacterial small subunit ribosomal RNA", at positions 28 to 507 of the family's 1533-position model. The record is from RNAcentral.
GAUGAACGCUGGCGGCGUGUCUUAGGCAUGCAAGUCGAACGCUCCACCUUCGGGUGGGGAGUGGCAAACGGGUGCGUAACACAUUGGUAACCUACCCUGAAGUUCGGAAUAAUUCCGCGAAAGCGGGACUAAUACCGGAUGUGUCCCUGUACCAUUGGGUGCAGGGGUAAAGAUUUAUCGCUUCAGGAGGGGCCUAUGGUCCAUCAGCUUGUUGGUGAGGUAAUGGCUCACCAAGGCGACGACGGAUAGCGGGUGUGAGAGCACGACCCGCCUCACUGGGACUGAGACACUGCCCAGACUCCUACGGGAGGCUGCAGUCAAGAAUCUUCCCCAAUGCGCGAAAGCGUGAGGGAGCGACGCCGCGUGCAGGAGGAAGCCCUUCGGGGUGUAAACUGCUUUUCUCUGGGAAAAACUCUGAUGGUACCAGAGGAAUAAGGGGCUGCUAACUUCGUG